UUAAGCGACUAAGCGUACACGGUGGAUGCCCUGGCAGUCAGAGGCGAUGAAGGACGUGCUAAUCUGCGAUAAGCGUCGGUAAGGUGAUAUGAACCGUUAUAACCGGCGAUUUCCGAAUGGGGAAACCCAGUGUGUUUCGACACAUUAUCAUUAACUGAAUCCAUAGGUUAAUGAGGCGAACCGGGGGAACUGAAACAUCUAAGUACCCCGAGGAAAAGAAAUCAACCGAGAUUCCCCCAGUAGCGGCGAGCGAACGGGGAGGAGCCCAGAGCCUGAAUCAGUGUGUGUGUUAGUGGAAGCGUCUGGAAAGGCGCGCGAUACAGGGUGACAGCCCCGUACACAAAAAUGCACAUGCUGUGAGCUCGAUGAGUAGGGCGGGACACGUGGUAUCCUGUCUGAAUAUGGGGGGACCAUCCUCCAAGGCUAAAUACUCCUGACUGACCGAUAGUGAACCAGUACCGUGAGGGAAAGGCGAAAAGAACCCCGGCGAGGGGAGUGAAAAAGAACCUGAAACCGUGUACGUACAAGCAGUGGGAGCACGCUUCGGCGUGUGACUGCGUACCUUUUGUAUAAUGGGUCAGCGACUUAUAUUCUGUAGCAAGGUUAACCGAAUAGGGGAGCCGAAGGGAAACCGAGUCUUAACUGGGCGUUAAGUUGCAGGGUAUAGACCCGAAACCCGGUGAUCUAGCCAUGGGCAGGUUGAAGGUUGGGUAACACUAACUGGAGGACCGAACCGACUAAUGUUGAAAAAUUAGCGGAUGACUUGUGGCUGGGGGUGAAAGGCCAAUCAAACCGGGAGAUAGCUGGUUCUCCCCGAAAGCUAUUUAGGUAGCGCCUCGUGAACUCAUCUCCGGGGGUAGAGCACUGUUUCGGCAAGGGGGUCAUCCCGACUUACCAACCCGAUGCAAACUGCGAAUACCGGAGAAUGUUAUCACGGGAGACACACGGCGGGUGCUAACGUCCGUCGUGAAGAGGGAAACAACCCAGACCGCCAGCUAAGGUCCCAAAGUCAUGGUUAAGUGGGAAACGAUGUGGGAAGGCCCAGACAGCCAGGAUGUUGGCUUAGAAGCAGCCAUCAUUUAAAGAAAGCGUAAUAGCUCACUGGUCGAGUCGGCCUGCGCGGAAGAUGUAACGGGGCUAAACCAUGCACCGAAGCUGCGGCAGCGACGCUUAUGCGUUGUUGGGUAGGGGAGCGUUCUGUAAGCCUGUGAAGGUGUGCUGUGAGGCAUGCUGGAGGUAUCAGAAGUGCGAAUGCUGACAUAAGUAACGAUAAAGCGGGUGAAAAGCCCGCUCGCCGGAAGACCAAGGGUUCCUGUCCAACGUUAAUCGGGGCAGGGUGAGUCGACCCCUAAGGCGAGGCCGAAAGGCGUAGUCGAUGGGAAACAGGUUAAUAUUCCUGUACUUGGUGUUACUGCGAAGGGGGGACGGAGAAGGCUAUGUUGGCCGGGCGACGGUUGUCCCGGUUUAAGCGUGUAGGCUGGUUUUCCAGGCAAAUCCGGAAAAUCAAGGCUGAGGCGUGAUGACGAGGCACUACGGUGCUGAAGCAACAAAUGCCCUGCUUCCAGGAAAAGCCUCUAAGCAUCAGGUAACAUCAAAUCGUACCCCAAACCGACACAGGUGGUCAGGUAGAGAAUACCAAGGCGCUUGAGAGAACUCGGGUGAAGGAACUAGGCAAAAUGGUGCCGUAACUUCGGGAGAAGGCACGCUGAUAUGUAGGUGAAGUCCCUCGCGGAUGGAGCUGAAAUCAGUCGAAGAUACCAGCUGGCUGCAACUGUUUAUUAAAAACACAGCACUGUGCAAACACGAAAGUGGACGUAUACGGUGUGACGCCUGCCCGGUGCCGGAAGGUUAAUUGAUGGGGUUAGCGGUAACGCGAAGCUCUUGAUCGAAGCCCCGGUAAACGGCGGCCGUAACUAUAACGGUCCUAAGGUAGCGAAAUUCCUUGUCGGGUAAGUUCCGACCUGCACGAAUGGCGUAAUGAUGGCCAGGCUGUCUCCACCCGAGACUCAGUGAAAUUGAACUCGCUGUGAAGAUGCAGUGUACCCGCGGCAAGACGGAAAGACCCCGUGAACCUUUACUAUAGCUUGACACUGAACAUUGAGCCUUGAUGUGUAGGAUAGGUGGGAGGCUUUGAAGUGUGGACGCCAGUCUGCAUGGAGCCGACCUUGAAAUACCACCCUUUAAUGUUUGAUGUUCUAACGUUGACCCGUAAUCCGGGUUGCGGACAGUGUCUGGUGGGUAGUUUGACUGGGGCGGUCUCCUCCUAAAGAGUAACGGAGGAGCACGAAGGUUGGCUAAUCCUGGUCGGACAUCAGGAGGUUAGUGCAAUGGCAUAAGCCAGCUUGACUGCGAGCGUGACGGCGCGAGCAGGUGCGAAAGCAGGUCAUAGUGAUCCGGUGGUUCUGAAUGGAAGGGCCAUCGCUCAACGGAUAAAAGGUACUCCGGGGAUAACAGGCUGAUACCGCCCAAGAGUUCAUAUCGACGGCGGUGUUUGGCACCUCGAUGUCGGCUCAUCACAUCCUGGGGCUGAAGUAGGUCCCAAGGGUAUGGCUGUUCGCCAUUUAAAGUGGUACGCGAGCUGGGUUUAGAACGUCGUGAGACAGUUCGGUCCCUAUCUGCCGUGGGCGCUGGAGAACUGAGGGGGGCUGCUCCUAGUACGAGAGGACCGGAGUGGACGCAUCACUGGUGUUCGGGUUGUCAUGCCAAUGGCACUGCCCGGUAGCUAAAUGCGGAAGAGAUAAGUGCUGAAAGCAUCUAAGCACGAAACUUGCCCCGAGAUGAGUUCUCCCUGACUCCUUGAGAGUCCUGAAGGAACGUUGAAGACGACGACGUUGAUAGGCCGGGUGUGUAAGCGCAGCGAUGCGUUGAGCUAACCGGUACUAAUGAACCGUGAGGCUUAACCUU
This 2904-nucleotide ribosomal RNA is filed under the name Escherichia coli. RNAcentral describes it as "bacterial LSU rRNA". It matches the Rfam family "Bacterial large subunit ribosomal RNA". Lineage: Bacteria; Pseudomonadati; Pseudomonadota; Gammaproteobacteria; Enterobacterales; Enterobacteriaceae. The record is from RNAcentral.